Molecule: long non-coding RNA, 943 nt
Filed under: Pelobates cultripes (western spadefoot toad)
Lineage: Eukaryota; Metazoa; Chordata; Amphibia; Anura; Pelobatidae
Source: RNAcentral
CCUCUCAGUAGAUUAGAAGAAUUAUGUUAGCUGCAGGAGCUGCUGUGAUUUCUUUGUGAUUAGCAUUAUCCGAUCCUCUGGAGCAUGGCACAGUCAAAGUGGGAAAAGGAUGUGACGUUGACCUUCUGUCUCAAACCCCUCCUCCAGAGUCAGACCUCUACCACAGGGAGCUUUCAAGUCACUGGCAACCUGAUUUGGAGGCUGAUGAUAGGCUGGGAGCUGAGCUGCAGGCUGAACGUGCUGCCUGAGUAGUGUUCAAAGCGGAUAAGGCUAAGCACAAAGAAAUCACAGCAGCUGCUGCAGCUAACAUAAUUCUUCUAAUCUACUAAGCGAAAGUAACAGCUCACUAAACUUAGCCAAGCAGCACUGCAGUAUAUACCUAAAGCAUGUCACACUGCCUCAUUAUUGAAGCUUGCAUUGUAUGUUAUAUUCUUUCACCUCAUAAGGUGUCACUCUGUUGAAACACUACACUUCGUAUGUUUUAUUUGUAUAUUGGUGUUUAGGGGUACACCAUCUAGAAGGUUUUCUGGUUUGUUUUUAGCAUAUAGUGGAGAUAUUUUGAAUAGAUUAUUAUUAAUUCCCUUUAAUUUAUGAAGAGGCAAGACCAUGUUUUAUGUGUAACAAUACUCUACUGGCCUUAGUAACUGCUACCUGACUGCACAUUCUUACUUAGUCUGUUGUCUAUAUCUGUUAUCACGCAAUAUUGUUUUCCCUGAUUCAGUAUAAUUUGUUCGUACAUUUCUCAGCUCAAAAUACAUUUGUUUAAGAUUACUACAUUAAAUCUCACCUGUCACUUUACUGCUUUGUCCCCUAAUUUUCCAAAUCAAAAGUAUUCUGCCACAGUUUUUUUUUUUGCUCGUCAAGCAUAUUUUGUGCCUGGUUAAUGCAUCGUCUGUAAAAAGUUGGUGGAUUAAAAUAAUAAAUUACUGUUUGGAGCGUCAUG